GAUGAAGAACGCAGCGAAAUGCGAUAAGUAAUGUGAAUUGCAGAAUUCAGUGAAUCAUCGAAUCUUUGAACCCACAUUGCGCCCCCUGGUAUUCCGGGGGGCAUGCCUGUUCGAGCGUCAUUUCAACCCUCAAGCUCUGCUUGGUAUUGAGUCCAUGUCAGCAAUGGCAGGCUCCAAAAUCAGUGGCGGCGCCGCUGGGUCCUGAACGUAGUAAUAUCUCUCGUUACAGGUGCUCGGCGUGCUUCUGCCAAAACCCCAAUUUUUCUAUGGUUGACCUCGGAUCAGGUAGGGAUACCCGCUGAACUUAAGCAUAUCAAUAAGCGGAGGA
RNAcentral lists this unclassified non-coding RNA (328 nucleotides) under soil metagenome. RNAcentral's name for it is "partial contains 5.8S ribosomal RNA, internal transcribed spacer 2, and large subunit ribosomal RNA". The stretch from base 1 to 120 matches the Rfam family "5.8S ribosomal RNA", at positions 35 to 154 of the family's 154-position model. The record is from RNAcentral.